CGUGCCUAAUACAUGCAAGUCGAGCGGAAUGGUGAAGAAGCUUGCUUCUUCUGAUUUUAGCGGCGGACGGGUGAGUAACACGUGGGCAACCUACCUUGUAGAUUGGGAUAACUCCGGGAAACCGGGGCUAAUACCGAAUAAUCCAUUUUGCUUCAUGGCGAGAUGUUGAAAGACGGUUUCGGCUGUCACUAUAAGGUGGGCCCGCGGCGCAUUAGCUAGUUGGUAGGGUAAUGGCCUACCAAGGCGACGAUGCGUAGCCGACCUGAGAGGGUGAUCGGCCACACUGGGACUGAGACACGGCCCAGACUCCUACGGGAGGCAGCAGUAGGGAAUCUUCCACAAUGGACGAAAGUCUGAUGGAGCAACGCCGCGUGAGUGAAGAAGGUUUUCGGAUCGUAAAACUCUGUUGUAAGGGAAGAACACGUACGAGAGUAACUGCUCGUACCUUGACGGUACCUUAUUAGAAAGCCACGGCUAACUACGUG
This 485-nucleotide ribosomal RNA is filed under the name uncultured bacterium. RNAcentral describes it as "bacterial SSU rRNA". It matches the Rfam family "Bacterial small subunit ribosomal RNA", at positions 43 to 507 of the family's 1533-position model. The record is from RNAcentral.